RNAcentral lists this ribosomal RNA (449 nucleotides) under uncultured bacterium. RNAcentral's name for it is "partial 16S ribosomal RNA". It matches the Rfam family "Bacterial small subunit ribosomal RNA", at positions 29 to 523 of the family's 1533-position model. The record is from RNAcentral.
AACGAACGCUGGCGGCAUGCCUAACACAUGAAAGUCGAACGAGAUCUUCGGGUCUAGUGGCGCACGGGUGCGUAACGCGUGGGAAUCUGCCCUUUGGUUCGGAAUAACAGUUGGAAACGACUGUUAAUACCGGAUGAUGACGAAAGUCCAAAGAUUUAUCGCCAGAGGAUGAGCCCGCGUAGGAUUAGCUAGUUGGUGUGGUAAGGGCGCACCAAGGCGACGAUCCUUAGCUGGUCUGAGAGGAUGAUCAGCCACACUGGGACUGAGACACGGCCCAGACUCCUACGGGAGGCAGCAGUGGGGAAUAUUGGACAAUGGGCGAAAGCCUGAUCCAGCAAUGCCGCGUGAGUGAUGAAGGCCUUAGGGUUGUAAAGCUCUUUUACCCGGGAUGAUAAUGACGGUACCGGGAGAAUAAGCUCCGGCUAACUCCGUGCCAGCCGCCGCCGUAA